UGGGGAAUAUUGGACAAUGGGCGCAAGCCUGAUCCAGCCAUACCGCGUGGGUGAAGAAGGCCUUCGGGUUGUAAAGCCCUUUUGUUGGGAAAGAAAUCCAGCCGGCUAAUACCUGGUUGGGAUGACGGUACCCAAAGAAUAAGCACCGGCUAACUUCGUGCCAGCAGCCGCGGUAAUACGAAGGGUGCAAGCGUUACUCGGAGUUACUGGGCGUAAAGCGUGCGUAGGUGGUUAUUUAAGUCCGUUGUGAAAGCCCUGGGCUCAACCUGGGAACUGCAGUGGAUACUGGAUGACUAGAAUGUGGUAGGUGGUAGCGGAAUUCCUGGUGUAGCAGUGAAAUGCGUAGAGAUCAGGAGGAACAUCCAUGGCGAAGGCAGCUACCUGGACCAACAUUGACACUGAGGCACGAAAGCGUGGGGAGCAAACA
Molecule: ribosomal RNA, 427 nt
Filed under: uncultured bacterium
Lineage: Bacteria
Description: bacterial SSU rRNA
Rfam family: Bacterial small subunit ribosomal RNA
Source: RNAcentral